GAUGAACGCUGGCGGCGUGCCUAAUACAUGCAAGUAGAACGCUGAAGGAUGAGCUUGCUCUUCUGCAUGAGUUGCGCACGGGUGAGUAACGCGUAGGUAACCUGCCUGGUAGCGGGGGAUACCUCUUGGAAACGGUAGCUAAUACCGCAUAACAACAGUUACUGCAUGAUAAGUGUUUAAAAGGGGCAACUGCUCCACUACCAGAUGGACCUGCGUUGUAUUUGCUGGUUGGUGAGGUAACGGCUCACCAAGGCGACGAUACAUAGCCGACAUGAGGAGAUGCUCCGCCACACUGGGACUGACACGCGGCCCAGACCCCUACGGGAGGGAGCAGUAGGGAAUACUGGACAGGGGGCGAAAGUCUGAGCCAGCAGUGCCGCGUGAGUGAUGAAGGCCUUAGUGUUGUAAAGCUCUUUUAGCCGAGAUGAUAAUGACGGUACCGGGAGAAUAAGCUCCGGCUAACUCCGUG
Molecule: ribosomal RNA, 469 nt
Filed under: uncultured bacterium
Lineage: Bacteria
Description: partial 16S ribosomal RNA
Rfam family: Bacterial small subunit ribosomal RNA
Source: RNAcentral